AGUGAACGCUGGCGGUAGGCCUAACACAUGCAAGUCGAACGGCAGCACAGUAAGAGCUUGCUCUUACGGGUGGCGAGUGGCGGACGGGUGAGGAAUACAUCGGAAUCUACUUUUUCGUGGGGGAUAACGUAGGGAAACUUACGCUAAUACCGCAUACGACCUACGGGUGAAAGCAGGGGAUCUUCGGACCUUGCGCGAUUGAAUGAGCCGAUGUCGGAUUAGCUAGUUGGCGGGGUAAAGGCCCACCAAGGCGACGAUACGUAGCUGGUCUGAGAGGAUGAUCAGCCACACUGGAACUGAGACACGGUCCAGACUCCUACGGGAGGCAGCAGUGGGGAAUAUUGGGCAAUGGGCGCAAGCCUGAUCCAGCCAUGCCGCGUGGGUGAAGAAGGCCCUCGGGUUGUAAAGCCCUUUUGUUGGGAAAGAAAAGCAGCAGGUUAAUACCCCGCUGUUCUGACGGUACCCAAAGAAUAAGCACCGGCUAACUUCGUG
This 492-nucleotide ribosomal RNA is filed under the name uncultured bacterium. Its description in RNAcentral is "partial 16S ribosomal RNA". It matches the Rfam family "Bacterial small subunit ribosomal RNA", at positions 29 to 507 of the family's 1533-position model. The record is from RNAcentral.